Molecule: ribosomal RNA, 497 nt
Filed under: uncultured bacterium
Lineage: Bacteria
Description: partial 16S ribosomal RNA
Rfam family: Bacterial small subunit ribosomal RNA
Source: RNAcentral
GAUGAACGCUGGCGGCGUGCCUAAUACAUGCAAGUCGAGCGAACAGACGAGGAGCUUGCUCCUCUGACGUUAGCGGCGGACGGGUGAGUAACACGUGGAUAACCUACCUAUAAGACUGGGAUAACUUCGGGAAACCGGAGCUAAUACCGGAUAAUAUAUUGAACCGCAUGGUUCAAUAGUGAAAGACGGUUUUGCUGUCACUUAUAGAUGGAUCCGCGCCGCAUUAGCUAGUUUGUAAGGUAACGGCUUACCAAGGCAACGAUGCGUAGCCGACCUGAGAGGGUGAUCGGCCACACUGGAACUGAGACACGGUCCAGACUCCUACGGGAGGCAGCAGUAGGGAAUCUUCCGCAAUGGGCGAAAGCCUUACGGGGCAACGCCGCGUGAGUGAUGAAGGUCUUCGGAUCGUAAAACUCUGUUAUUAGGGAAGAACAAAUGUGUAAGUAACUAUGCACGUCUUGACGGUACCUAAUCAGAAAGCCACGGCUAACUACGUG